UGGGGAAUAUUGCACAAUGGGCGCAAGCCUGAUGCAGCCAUGCCGCGUGUAUGAAGAAGGCCUUCGGGUUGUAAAGUACUUUCAGCAGUGAGGAAGGUUCAUGCGUUAAUAGCGUAUGGAUUUGACGUUAGCUGCAGAAGAAGCACCGGCUAA
Molecule: ribosomal RNA, 153 nt
Filed under: Vibrio parahaemolyticus
Lineage: Bacteria; Pseudomonadati; Pseudomonadota; Gammaproteobacteria; Vibrionales; Vibrionaceae
Description: partial 16S ribosomal RNA
Rfam family: Bacterial small subunit ribosomal RNA
Source: RNAcentral